RNAcentral lists this ribosomal RNA (543 nucleotides) under Cronobacter sakazakii. RNAcentral describes it as "partial 23S ribosomal RNA". It matches the Rfam family "Bacterial large subunit ribosomal RNA", at positions 2259 to 2801 of the family's 2925-position model. The record is from RNAcentral. Lineage: Bacteria; Pseudomonadati; Pseudomonadota; Gammaproteobacteria; Enterobacterales; Enterobacteriaceae. RNAcentral also lists the same sequence under 1 other name.
UGGUGGGUAGUUUGACUGGGGCGGUCUCCUCCCAAAGUGUAACGGAGGAGCACGAAGGUCAGCUAAUCCUGGUCGGACAUCAGGAGGUUAGUGCAAUGGCAUAAGCUGGCUUGACUGCGAGAGUGACGGCUCGAGCAGGUGCGAAAGCAGGUCAUAGUGAUCCGGUGGUUCUGUAUGGAAGGGCCAUCGCUCAACGGAUAAAAGGUACUCCGGGGAUAACAGGCUGAUACCGCCCAAGAGUUCAUAUCGACGGCGGUGUUUGGCACCUCGAUGUCGGCUCAUCACAUCCUGGGGCUGAAGUAGGUCCCAAGGGUAUGGCUGUUCGCCAUUUAAAGUGGUACGCGAGCUGGGUUUAGAACGUCGUGAGACAGUUCGGUCCCUAUCUGCCGUGGGCGCUGGAGAAUUGAGGGGGGCUGCUCCCAGUACGAGAGGACCGGAGUGGACGCAUCACUGGUGUUCGGGUUGUCAUGCCAAUGGCACUGCCCGGUAGCUAAAUGCGGAAGAGAUAAGUGCUGAAAGCAUCUAAGCACGAAACUUGCCCCG